UAACCUGCCUCAUACGAGGGGAUAACAGUUAGAAAUGACUGCUAAUACCGCAUAAGACCACAGUACCGCAUGGUACAGUGGUAAAAACUCCGGUGGUAUGAGAUGGACCCGCGUCUGAUUAGGUAGUUUGGUGGGGUAAACGGCCUACCAAGCCGACGAUCAGUAGCCGACCUGAGAGGGUGACCGGCCACAUUGGGACUGAGACACGGCCCAGACUCCUACGGGAGGCAGCAGUGGGGAAUAUUGCACAAUGGAGGAAACUCUGAUGCAGCGACGCCGCGUGAGUGAAGAAGUAAUUCGUUAUGUAAAGCUCUAUCAGCAGGGAAGACAGUGACGGUACCUGACUAAGAAGCUCCGGCUAAAUACGUG
This 369-nucleotide ribosomal RNA is filed under the name uncultured bacterium. RNAcentral's name for it is "bacterial SSU rRNA". It matches the Rfam family "Bacterial small subunit ribosomal RNA", at positions 122 to 507 of the family's 1533-position model. The record is from RNAcentral.